CAUCCAUAAAAUUCUCAUGAUCUUACAUAAAAGCAGUCAUGUCAUCAUUAUCAUAUUCUAAAAAGCUUCAAGUCAAGUUGCCUUCAUCCAAAAGAAAAGGUUGCAAUAAGCCUCCUACAGUUAAAUAGUCUGCAAACACUAAAACAAAAUCUGUGUUUAGGUACAUUGAGCAUAACAAGUUAGACAUUUUGAGUUUAGAGCACUCAAAAGAAAAAUAUGAACACCUGAUGUGGAAUGAACACAGCCAAAAAAGGGACAUUCUAGUAGUCUAGCAACUUUUCAAGACAUAUUCUUGAGCUAAUGACACAAUCAUAACAGAACUCCCAAAUAGUAUAAGCAAAAGAGAAAGGGAG
RNAcentral lists this long non-coding RNA (353 nucleotides) under Fragaria vesca (wild strawberry). RNAcentral's name for it is "long non-coding RNA (FVES_LNC000771)". The record is from RNAcentral. Lineage: Eukaryota; Viridiplantae; Streptophyta; Magnoliopsida; Rosales; Rosaceae.